This is a long non-coding RNA of Cucurbita moschata (crookneck pumpkin), 580 nucleotides long. RefSeq lists it as uncharacterized. The transcript is spliced from 3 exons. The record is from RefSeq and is a predicted model, not a curated record. Lineage: Eukaryota; Viridiplantae; Streptophyta; Magnoliopsida; Cucurbitales; Cucurbitaceae.
UUGAAUGAAGUUGUCAUCGGAUUUGCAUUCUUUUAUCGCGCGCAGGGUAUUCUUGGUUGUCGGUUAACUUUAGAUUUCCGGCGAACCUGGCGAUCGCCGUAGCCUACGUUGGGAACCGCUGCAUAAUGGUUGAAUCUUCUGCGCAGUUGAGGCGGAUUCGAUCGGCUUCUUUCGAGGCGCUGACAUCGUGUGCCUGGAAAUAAUCUAACCAAUGUUUAAGCCUCCCGGUGAAUGGGGGAUAGACAGGUUUGAGGCAUGAUGUUAGGAUGGUUAGGGAGAUUUUCGCUCUAUUCGUGGGCUGAUAUUUACUUUCUUUUAUGAUGAACGUCAAUUAAGGCUUACUGAUCAUGACUUCUUGUCGCUCCGAACAGUUUAGAAGGAUGACUGUUAGGGAGAUCUGUGAGUGUGUUGAUUCUUCAGGAAGGCCUGCUCUGCGUGUGGUAAUGGAAAAAAAAGGAUUAACACAUUAGGAAGGACGAGUCUACCGGCACUUCUUGUUCUGCAUUUGUACUGUACGUCUGGGUACCGUUUAUGGCGGGGAUUCCUUUUACAAGAUUCUGAUUCAACCUCAGAAAUGUUA